UAACUUCUCCCUCCGUCCAGAAAUACUUAUCCGAGAAAUGGAUGUAUCUAGACGUAUUUUAGUUCUAGAUACAUCCAUUUUUAUCUAUUUCUAUAACAAGUAUUUUAGAACAGAGGGAGUAUAUA
Non-coding RNA from Triticum aestivum (bread wheat), 125 nucleotides. The record is from Rfam. Lineage: Eukaryota; Viridiplantae; Streptophyta; Magnoliopsida; Poales; Poaceae.